UGCGAAGGUAAGCGAAUCCCAUAAAGCCAUUCUCAGUUCGGAUUGCAGGCUGCAACUCGCCUGCAUGAAGCCGGAAUCGCUAGUAAUCGCGGAUCAGCAUGCCGCGGUGAAUACGUUCCCGGGCCUUGUACACACCGCCCGUCACACCACGAGAGUUUGUAACACCCGAAGUCGGGGAGGUAACCUUCAUGGAGCCAGCCGCCUAAGGUGGGACAGAUGAUUGGGGUGAAGUCGUAACAAGGUAGCCGUAUCGGAAGGUGCGGCUGGAUCACCUCCUUUCUAAGGA
This 286-nucleotide ribosomal RNA is filed under the name Bacillus sp. mrc49. RNAcentral describes it as "partial 16S ribosomal RNA". It matches the Rfam family "Bacterial small subunit ribosomal RNA", at positions 1256 to 1533 of the family's 1533-position model. The record is from RNAcentral. Lineage: Bacteria; Bacillati; Bacillota; Bacilli; Caryophanales; Bacillaceae.